GUUCGUUAAUUUGUGGGGUAGUGGUGUGGUCCAACUAACCCCCACUGUCCGGCAGUGAUAUUAUGGAAGAAAGCUUUCUGCAAUAUCAUGUUAAUGCUAAAGCAAAAAGCUUUAGUCCGGGAGUUAGAAGGUGAUAUCUCUAUUGCAGAUCCAGAGACCUAUUUCAGAGUGGCUGGAGAGACACGUCCAUUCAGAAGUCACUUUCACUUACAAUAAGCCCCUCAUGUGUGCAUUACCGUUAUCAAAUGGAUAAUGAUAAUACAAACACACUUCCUGCUUCAAAGAAAAGCUUCGAAACUAGCGCGUAUUUAGUUGAAUUUGUUGUAGUUUAAUAAUAAAGAUCAGAACAAUCUCACCGAAAACCAUCCAAGGUAGCGCGGCCAUCACCAUAGGAACGUCUGUACAACGCCAUCGGGUUUACUCCACGUCUCACCUCCGUCGCGCCGUCAGUCAUCAUUAGAACUCACGUCACAUAAUGUAUUUCUCACAAAAUUAUGGAUGAGAUCACAUUGUUUGAUUCUGUAACCACUCGCGAACGGCGCGAACUGGAACCAAACCCGCGAAAAAGAAGCGUUUGCGUUACCCGAGCUGCGGGCACCGGCAUGCAACACGCAAGACACUAAAACACCUCCGGAUGGCGUAGCGCCGUUCCACGAUUUGGCUGGAAAAAACAAUCUAACAACGCGGAACUAACUUCUCUUGAAACAAUUCUUCAAGAUCUUCCCACAAUUAUGUAAUCACUUUGUAUCAAAACUCACACAGAAUCAACAUUCUUCCCCUCGCGGAAGAGCUAUGCGGAUAGCGUAGCAGAAGAAUCAGCAGAAUCACGAAAAAAACACGUUUCAAGCAAGCAACACUGAUUUUCCUAGCGGAAUGCACAAGACACGAAAACACUUCCGGAUGGCGCAGCUGCCUGCUUCUCUAGGAAAACGGAACCAAGUUUGAACACGGUUGUUUGCAAAAACCCAUCGAUGAGUAAAAAAAUACUCAUUUUUGAAAAAGAUGCACUUCUGUCAAAACAUGGGUAAAACGGAUAUCACGAAAAGGGUAAAAAAAUACCCGUUGUUGAAAACAGCUUUGCUACCCAUUAAUGGGUGAAAAAUAGUUGUGAACAUUUUUACAAACACGCCACAUUUUGGUCUUGUUAGCUGAACAGUACUGAACAUUUUCCUGCAACCAAAAUACGAAUAAAAUGGCAGAGAUAAAAGAAAUAUAGCAACAAGAAUGAUGACAUCUGCGACGAUUGGCGAACCAUCCUGGAAGCGGCACCAUCAAGGGCACCAUCCUCAUCAAUAAUUGGAAUUUCGAACAAUUUAAUGAUCAAAUAUGUGAUUGACAAUCAUCUCUGUAAUAAAAAUAAUAGGAGGAAUAUA
This is a long non-coding RNA of Aedes albopictus (Asian tiger mosquito), 1373 nucleotides long. RefSeq lists it as uncharacterized. Lineage: Eukaryota; Metazoa; Arthropoda; Insecta; Diptera; Culicidae. The record is from RefSeq and is a predicted model, not a curated record. The transcript is spliced from 2 exons.